Molecule: ribosomal RNA, 396 nt
Filed under: uncultured soil bacterium
Lineage: Bacteria
Description: bacterial SSU rRNA
Rfam family: Bacterial small subunit ribosomal RNA
Source: RNAcentral
AGAUUGAACGCUAGCGGGAUGCUUUACACAUGCAAGUCGAACGGCAGCGCGGACUUCGGUCUGGCGGCGAGUGGCGAACGGGUGAGUAAUAUAUCGGAACGUGCCCAGUAGCGGGGGAUAACUACGCGAAAGCGUGGCUAAUACCGCAUACGCCCUACGGGGGAAAGGGGGGAUCGCAAGACCUCUCACUAUUGGAGCGGCCGAUAUCAGAUUAGCUAGUUGGUGAGGUAAAGGCUCACCAAGGCGACGAUCUGUAGCUGGUUUGAGAGGACGACCAGCCACACUGGGACUGAGACACGGCCCAGACUCCUACGGGAGGCAGCAGUGGGGGAAUUUGGACAAUGGGGGAAACCUGAUCCAGCCAUCCCGCGUGUGCGAUGAAGGCCUUCGGGUUGU